UACGGAGGGGGCGAGUGUUGUUCGGAAUUACUGGGCGUAAAGGGCGCGCAGGCGGCUUGGCAAGUCGAGUGUGAAAUCCCUUGGCUUAACUGAGGAAUGGCGCUCGAAACUACCUCGCUAGAGGGCGGGAGAGGGAAGUGGAACUCUCGGUGUAGGGGUGAAAUCUGUAGAUAUCGAGAGGAACACCGGUGGCGAAGGCGGCUUCCUGGCCCGUACCUGACGCUGAGGCGCGAAAGCGUGGGGAGCAAACAGGAUUAGAAACCCUCGUAGUCC
Molecule: ribosomal RNA, 273 nt
Filed under: uncultured bacterium
Lineage: Bacteria
Description: partial 16S ribosomal RNA
Rfam family: Bacterial small subunit ribosomal RNA
Source: RNAcentral